GUAUCUCUCCAUAGCCUUACAUGUUGGUAAAAAUUAAAUAUGAAUAAAAAUUAUUCAAAUCUAAAAGUAAAAUUUGAGUAUUACAAAUAAUCAACGUCAACUAUCGAUAAAUCAAGAUCAUAGUGCACUACUACAAAAAAUACCGAACAUAUGACUAAAGGUAAAAGGUAACCUUUUGGUCAACAAAAAUAGGAACAAAAACGUCGCAAAAAGAAACAAACAAUAUCAACCACACUAAU
This 239-nucleotide long non-coding RNA is filed under the name Lathyrus oleraceus (garden pea). Its description in RNAcentral is "Pisum sativum (pea) long non-coding RNA (PSAT_LNC021656)". The record is from RNAcentral. Lineage: Eukaryota; Viridiplantae; Streptophyta; Magnoliopsida; Fabales; Fabaceae.